CCUACGGGUGGCAGCAGUGAGGAAUAUUGGUCAAUGGGCUUACGCCUGAACCAGCCAAGUCGCGUGAGGGAAGACUGCCCUAUGGGUUGUAAACCUCUUUUGUCAGGGAGCAACGCCGGCUACGUGUAGCCGGACUGAGAGUACCUGAAGAAAAAGCAUCGGCUAACUCCGUGCCAGCAGCCGCGGUAAUACGGGGGAUGCGAGGGUUAUCCGGAUUUAUUGGGUUUAAAGGGUGAGUAGGCGGAAUGCCAAGUCAGCGGGAAAAGCGCGGGGCUCAAACGCGCUCCGCCGUUGAAACUGGCGGUCGUGAGUGGGCGAGAAGUAUGCGGAAUGCGGGGGGUAGCGGUGAAAUGCAUAGAUAGCACGCAGAACUCCGAUUGCGAAGGCAGCAUACCGGCGCCCAACUGACGCUGAAGCACGAAAGCGUGGGUAUCGAACAGGAUUAGAUACCCCUGUAGUC
Molecule: ribosomal RNA, 460 nt
Filed under: uncultured bacterium
Lineage: Bacteria
Description: partial 16S ribosomal RNA
Rfam family: Bacterial small subunit ribosomal RNA
Source: RNAcentral